AAUAGGAAGCAGGGAUAGGUCAUACAUACGUAUAGGCAUACUCUGGUUUCUUAUGAAUAUGUAAAAGCAAUGUUCUGUAUAUUUAGAAAGUUCGACAGUUGUGUGUGCGUGUUGGUAGAGCGUAGAUUCCACACAUACCCAGCGCUGUUUACUUGCCUUUUAUAAUUUUUAAAAUAUUUGUUUCAGAAAUA
This is a long non-coding RNA of Oxyura jamaicensis (ruddy duck), 191 nucleotides long. RefSeq lists it as uncharacterized. NCBI's taxonomy places the organism in Eukaryota, Metazoa, Chordata, Aves, Anseriformes, Anatidae. The record is from RefSeq and is a predicted model, not a curated record. The transcript is spliced from 3 exons.